GAUGAAGAACGUAGCGAAAUGCGAUAAGUAAUGUGAAUUGCAGAAUUCAGUGAAUCAUCGAAUCUUUGAACGCACAUUGCGCCCGCCAGUAUUCUGGCGGGCAUGCCUGUUCGAGCGUCAUUUCAACCAUCAAGCCCCCCGGCUUGUGUUGGGGACCUGCGGCUGCCGCAGGCCCUGAAAAGCAGUGGCGGGCUCGCUGUCACACCGAGCGUAGUAGAUCUCAUCUCGCUCAGGGCGUGCUGCGGGUUCCGGCCGUUAAACCACCUUCAUAACCCAAGGUUGACCUCGGAUCAGGUAGGAAGACCCGCUGAACUUAAGCAUAUCAAUAAGCGGAGG
This 336-nucleotide unclassified non-coding RNA is filed under the name soil metagenome. RNAcentral describes it as "partial contains 5.8S ribosomal RNA, internal transcribed spacer 2, and large subunit ribosomal RNA". The stretch from base 1 to 120 matches the Rfam family "5.8S ribosomal RNA", at positions 35 to 154 of the family's 154-position model. The record is from RNAcentral.